Molecule: ribosomal RNA, 460 nt
Filed under: uncultured bacterium
Lineage: Bacteria
Description: partial 16S ribosomal RNA
Rfam family: Bacterial small subunit ribosomal RNA
Source: RNAcentral
CCUACGGGAGGCAGCAGUGAGGAAUCUUGGUCAAUGGGCGCGAGCCUGAACCAGCCAAGCCGCGUGAAGGAUGACUGCCCUCCGCGCUGUAAACUUCUUUUAUAAAGGAAUAAAGUAAGGCACGUGUGUCUCUUUGUUUGUACUUUAUGAAUUAGGAUCGGCUAACCUCGUUCCAUCCGCCCCGGUAAUACGGUAGGUGCGAGCGUAUUCCGGAUUUAUUGGGUUUAAAGGGAGCGUAGAUGGGUUGUUAAGUCAGUUGUGAAAGUUUGCGGCUCAACCGUAAAAUUGCAAUUGAUACUGGCAGCCUUGAGUACAGAUGAGGUAGGCGGAAUUCGUGGUGUAGCGGUGAAAUGCGUAGAUAUAACGAAGAACUCCGAUUGCGAAGGCAGCCUACUAAUCUGCCACUGACAUUGAUGCUCGAAAGUGUGGGUAGCAAACAGGAUUAGAUACCCUAGUAGUC